RNAcentral lists this ribosomal RNA (374 nucleotides) under uncultured organism. RNAcentral's name for it is "partial 16S ribosomal RNA". It matches the Rfam family "Bacterial small subunit ribosomal RNA", at positions 527 to 896 of the family's 1533-position model. The record is from RNAcentral.
GGAGGGGGCGAGCGUUAUUCGGAUUUACUGGGCGUAAAGCGCGCGUAGGCGGCGUGGUAAGUCAAAGGUGAAAGCCCUCGGCUCAACCGAGGAACUGCCUUUGAAACUGCCUCGCUUGAGUCCGGGAGGGGGGAGCGGAAUUCCCAGUGUAGCGGUGAAAUGCGUAGAUACUGGGAGGAACACCGGUGGCGAAGGCGGCUCCCUGGACCGGUACUGACGCUGAGGUGCGAAAGCGUGGGUAGCAAACAGGAUUAGAUACCCUGGGUAGUCCACGCCGUAAACGAUGGGCACUAGGUGCAGCGGGUGUCGACCCCCCUGCUGUGCCGAAGCUAACGCAUUAAGUGCCCCGCCUGGGGAGUACGGUCGCAAGGCUG